Molecule: ribosomal RNA, 253 nt
Filed under: uncultured bacterium
Lineage: Bacteria
Description: partial 16S ribosomal RNA
Rfam family: Bacterial small subunit ribosomal RNA
Source: RNAcentral
UACGUAGGUGGCAAGCGUUGUUCGGAAUUAUUGGGCGUAAAGGGCGCGUAGGCGGUCUUGUAAGUCAGCUGUGAAAGCCCGGGGCUCAACCUCGGAACGGCAUUCGAUACGGGACGGCUAGAGACCGGGAGAGGAGAGUGGAAUAGCCAGUGUAGAGGUGAAAUUCGUAGAUAUUGGCUGGAACACCGGUGGCGAAAGCGGCUCUCUGGCCCGGUUCUGACGCUGAGGCGCGAAAGCGUGGGGAGCAAACAGG